Molecule: ribosomal RNA, 253 nt
Filed under: uncultured bacterium
Lineage: Bacteria
Description: partial 16S ribosomal RNA
Rfam family: Bacterial small subunit ribosomal RNA
Source: RNAcentral
UACGUAGGGGGCAAGCGUUGUCCGGAAUCAUUGGGCGUAAAGCGCGCGUAGGCGGCCCGGUAAGUCCGCUGUGAAAGUCCAGGGCUCAACCCUGGAAAGCCGGUGGAUACUGCCGGGCUAGAGUCCGGAAGAGGCGAGUGGAAUUCCUGGUGUAGCGGUGGAAUGCGCAGAUAUCAGGAAGAACACCCGUGGCGAAGGCGGCUCUCUGGGACGGUACUGACGCUGAGGAGCGAAAGCGUGGGGAGCGAACAGG